GACGAACGCUGGCGGCGUGCUUAACACAUGCAAGUCGAACGGAAAGGCCCUGCUUUUGUGGGGUGCUCGAGUGGCGAACGGGUGAGUAACACGUGAGUAACCUGCCCUUGACUUUGGGAUAACUUCAGGAAACUGGGGCUAAUACCGGAUAGGAGCUCCUGCUGCAUGGUGGGGGUUGGAAAGUUUCGGCGGUUGGGGAUGGACUCGCGGCUUAUCAGCUUGGUGGUGGGGUAGGGGCUUACAAAGGCUUUGACGGGUAGCCGGCCUGAGAGGGUGACCGGCCACAUGGGGACUGAGAUACGGCCCAGACGCCUACGGGAGGAAGCAGUGGGGAAUAUGGCACAUUGGGCGGAAGCUGGAGGAAGAACCGCCGGGUGCGGGAUGACGGCCUUCGGGUUGUAACCGCUUUCGCCUGUGACGAAGCGUGAGUGACGGUAAUGGGUAAAGAAGCACCGGCUAACUACGUG
Molecule: ribosomal RNA, 467 nt
Filed under: uncultured bacterium
Lineage: Bacteria
Description: partial 16S ribosomal RNA
Rfam family: Bacterial small subunit ribosomal RNA
Source: RNAcentral